CCCGCUCAAUUCCUCUCUGGAUCUGAAUGUUGAACCGAGCCAUCGUCACCAUGGCCUCCGAUGUCCACGCGCCCACCGAGCUCCCCGCGCCCAGCCACCUCGACCAGGAGCUUCACCGAUGUCCACUCCGUCGACUAAGUCCAUCGUUCGGAGCCGGGAGCCCCUACAUCGACCACAUCGAGGUCAUCUUCAACCUUCGCCCCGUCUUUCGCCGUCUUUGAAACGGCCUCAUCAGAGCCUCCCCGACCUUCCAAGCACGUCAUCGAGCACCGCAGUGAGCCCCUCUGCCGAUUCCCUCAUUUUUCCCUUCGAUCUAGUGUUUGCCGUCGCUCCCGGGGUCGUCUGUGGUCGUCAUGGUCGGAGCUCCGCUCGCCGCGCCCCUAGUCAUGCCCGCGAGAACCUGGCCGCGCUUGCGCCCCCUGGGCGCCCCUGCCCGUCCGCCCAUUGCCGCUCACGCGCGCUCGUGCUACUGCUGCUCAUGCUACUCUGUUGCUGCUCCCGCUCGCUGCUCUCGAUGCAUCCUGCUGCUGCCGCUACUUGGCCGCAGCUGCGUCUGCUCCCUGCUCCUUGUAACGCUGCUGCUUGCUGUUGCUAAUGCCUACUGCUGUUGCUGCUACCUAUACUGCUCAUGCCGCUGCUGUUGCUGGUUGCCAUGGCCGUGAGUGUGUGUUCGUGUGUGUGCACGGCUGUGCCACGGCCGGCCCUUAUUUAAUUAGUCUAGGCUUAGUUAGAAGUACUACCAGUUUAGUGCUAAGUUAAUCUAGUAGUAGAUGACAUGUAGACCCCAUUAAAUAAGUUAGAUUUAUUUAUUUGUUUAGGUAAAUAGUCUAUGACAUGUGGGCCACACCUCCCCUUUUGACUAGUCAAUUUGACUUGGUCAAUUCGGAUUAAACUAAAUAUAAAAAUUCAGAGAAUUCAUAGAAAAUAAUCCGUAACUCGGAUGAAAAGGUUUUCUACAUGAAAGUUGCUCAGAAAAAUCCAACGAAUCUGGAUAUGCGGUCCUUUCAUCUGUCACAUGCCCCUAACAUGCUGAACAUGGAACCGUCCCCUCUUUUUUCAUCUGUCCGAAAAUGCCAAACUUCGGGAAAGCAUUCCCGGAUGUUAUCCCUCUUCGCUGUUAGCGUGUAGCACCGCGUUAGAACACGUCUAGCUCUGCCUGUUAUCCUGUUAUGCUCUUGCUUGCUAUGUAUUUACUGUCCCCCCCCUUCUCUUCGGUAGACCCUGUGGUGGCUGUCGAUGCCACUGUGAUCGACUACGUCAUCGACGACCCCUCCUUCUCGUUUGAGCAACCAAGCAAGCCCCCCCCCCUUUGAUUAUCCCGAUAUCGCCCAUUCCAUUCUCUCAUGCUUGCAUUAGAUUUUGCUAUUGUUAUCGUUUGCUUCUAUUCUGAUGCAUAGCCUGCUUUUGUAACCUGCUUAUUGUUACCUUAUCUGCUUAUCCUAAACUGCUUAGUAUAGGUUGGUUAGUGAUCCAUCAGUGACCCCCACCUUGUCCUUAUUGCCCCUGCUUCAUCAUUAAAGACCCGAUCAACGGGAUCGAAGACCAGGCUCCGGCACCGCACAUCAUUUUCUACUUAGUUGCUCGACACUGCUGGGUUACUAUCGAGUGCCCAGGGUGAGACCUCUACAGCAUUUCUGAUGUUAACCCUGUAGUGUAGCUAUUCGGUCGUGGUCAUCGAGGGUGAUUCCGCCUUAACCACUUCUGAUACGACUCUGUCGUGCAACCCCUCAAGUGUGAACCUCAGGGGUGAUUCCUCUUACGUUCACCUUGAUGAUUACAUCGAGUGGAAUUCACCGGGGGUGAUUCCUCGGGUUUUCCCCUUGAUGUUUAGACACACAGUUACUAUGAUUACUAUGACUUUACACUGAACCAUGUUACUAAAGACGGGCCGACCCUGAGGGGUACCCGCGGAAGCAUAAUUGCGAGUGAUGUGGAGUCGGGUUGACCUGGAAGGUGCCCGAGAUAUAAUUACGAGGCGUGGCCGGGCAUUCUUAGCCCUUGCCGCAAGUCCUCGAGACGGGGCAACGGGGUCACAUCUUUCCUGAGUCUCUGCUUGUUACCGCGCGUUCCUAAUCCACUACGAUUUGGAUAUUUGAUCCGAGGGGCCUCUGGCCUGAUAGCACUAACCAUCAUGUGGGCAUAGUACGGGUGUUCUGCAUCGUAUGCAUCAGUCGAAGCUUAAUAGACAUCAGCGACUGAGCGGCGCGCGCCAGGUUGGACUGGUAAGCACUUGCCUUUUUAAAGGAGGUAGCUAGGUCUGCUCACCAGUCGCGUACACAACGUGCAGGAGUUCCCGGGGCGAUGGUCCAUGACCCCUGGGGGCAUAGGUUUAGUCCGGCAUGCUGACCUCUCUAUUAAGCCUAGGUCGGGUUGCGGUGUAUUGUUUGGUCGAGGCCGGGCAUGACCCAGGAAAGUGUGUCCGGCCGGAGUUAAGCGAGCGUGGUGGGUAAGUUGGUGCACCCCUGCAGGGAAGAAAACAUCUAUCGAUAGCCUGUCCUAUGGUAACGGACACUUGGAGUUGUAUCCCGAUCGAUACAACUAGAACUGGAUACUUGUGAUGAGAAUUGGAUUGUGAUGACAAUUGGAUAGUAUGGCUCUGGGAUUGCUUUCUCACAUGGAGUCGAGAAAGGAUCUCUGGCCGAGGUUGAUAACACUACCACUGCUGUACUUUAUGCUACUCUACUCCCUCCUAUUUGCUGCAAGAUGGUGGUUUCCAGAAGAUGCUAGUCUUCGAUAGGACUAGGCCUUCUCUCUAUUCUGGCAUUUCUGCAGCCCAGUCCACAUAUACAACCUUAUUUUGAUAAUGUUGCAUAUGUAGUGUAGAUCCUUGCUUGCGAGUACUUUGGAUGAGUACUCACGGUUGCCUUGCUCCCCCUUUUCCCUCUUUCUUUUUCUUUCCGGAUGAUGCAACCAGAUGUCGGAGUCUAGGAGCCAGAUGCCACCGCCCGUGCCUACUACUACAUGAAGACCGCUGAUGACCAGGAGUAGUUAGGAGGCUCCCAGGCAGGAGGCCUUGCCUUUUCGAUUGUAGAUGCUUUUGUGCUAGCCUUCUUAAGGCAAACUUGUCUAACUUAUGUCUGUACUUAGAUAUUGUUGCUUCCGCUGACUCUUGUGUAUUCGAGCUUAUGUAUUUGAACCCUCGAGGCCCCUUGCUUGUAAUAUAAAGUUUGUAUUAUUUUAA
Molecule: long non-coding RNA, 3181 nt
Filed under: Triticum aestivum (bread wheat)
Lineage: Eukaryota; Viridiplantae; Streptophyta; Magnoliopsida; Poales; Poaceae
Description: long non-coding RNA (TAES_LNC003106)
Source: RNAcentral